RNAcentral lists this ribosomal RNA (1206 nucleotides) under metagenome. Its description in RNAcentral is "bacterial SSU rRNA". It matches the Rfam family "Bacterial small subunit ribosomal RNA", at positions 214 to 1441 of the family's 1533-position model. The record is from RNAcentral.
UCCGCUGAAAGAUGGACUCGCGUCCGAUUAGAUAGUUGGCGGGGUAACGGCCCACCAAGUCGACGAUCGGUAGCCGGACUGAGAGGUUGAUCGGCCACAUUGGGACUGAGACACGGCCCAGACUCCUACGGGAGGCAGCAGUGAGGGAUAUUGGGCAAUGGGGGAAACCCUGACCCAGCAACGCCGCGUGAGGGAUGACGGUUUUCGGAUUGUAAACCUCUGUCCUCUGUGAAGAUAGUGACGGUAGCAGAGGAGGAAGCUCCGGCUUACUACGUGCCAGCAGCCGCGGUAAUACGUAGGGAGCAAGCGUUGUCCGGAUUUACUGGGUGUAAAGGGUGCGUAGGCGGAUUGGCAAGUCAGAAGUGAAAUCCAUGGGCUUAACCCAUGAACUGCUUUUGAAACUGUUAGUCUUGAGUGAAGUAGAGGUAGGCGGAAUUCCCGGUGUAGCGGUGAAAUGCGUAGAGAUCGGGAGGAACACCAGUGGCGAAGGCGGCCUACUGGGCUUUAACUGACGCUGAGGCACGAAAGUGUGGGUAGCAAACAGGAUUAGAUACCCUGGUAGUCCACACUGUAAACGAUGAUUACUAGGUGUGGGGGGUCUAACCCCCUCCGUGCCGGAGUUAACACAAUAAGUAAUCCACCUGGGGAGUACGACCGCAAGGUUGAAACUCAAAGGAAUUGACGGGGGCCCGCACAAGCAGUGGAGUAUGUGGUUUAAUUCGACGCAACGCGAAGAACCUUACCAGGUCUUGACAUCCAACUAACGAAGCAGAGAUGCAUUAGGUGCCCUUCGGGGAAAGUUGAGACAGGUGGUGCAUGGUUGUCGUCAGCUCGUGCCGUGAGAUGUUGGGUUAAGUCCCGCAACGAGCACAACCCUUGUGAUUAGUUGCUACGCAAGAGCACUCUAAUCAGACUGCCGUUGACAAAUCGGAGGAAGGUGGGGACGACGUCAAAUCAUCAUGCCCUUUAUGACCUGGGCUACACACGUACUACAAUGGUCGUUAACAGAGGGAAGCAAUACCGCGAGGUGGAGCAAAACCCUAAAAACGGUCUCAGUUCAGAUUGUAGGCUGCAACUCGCCUACAUGAAGUUGGAAUUGCUAGUAAUCGCGGAUCAGCAUGCCGCGGUGAAUACGUUCCCGGGCCUUGUACACACCGCCCGUCACACCAUGGGAGCCGGUAAUACCCGAAGUCAGUAGUUUAACCA